Molecule: long non-coding RNA, 2584 nt
Filed under: Heterocephalus glaber (naked mole-rat)
Lineage: Eukaryota; Metazoa; Chordata; Mammalia; Rodentia; Bathyergidae
Description: lncRNA (ENSHGLG00000035077.1)
Source: RNAcentral
ACGAGGCGCAGGCACGCCAGCAGGGGAGAGGGAGACUCGGAAGCACAGGCGACAGGCCAGAUGCGGCUGGGUUGGCAGAGUCCAGGGUCCACGCAGGCAGAGUGCAGAAUGCGUGAGGAGGACUGAAGUCACGGGGCAGGAGGACCGGGCAGGCCCUGCAGACCAGGGACAAGGGCUUGCCACAGCGCCUGAGCCAGUCAGACGUCUGUCAGCAAACGCCGGGGCCACAGCCCCAAGACAGGACUGCAGAAGGGAGAAACUCACUUUGCUGAUUCCAGAAGCAGGCGACAGAGACCCUGCUCCCAUAGUAACUGGACUGGGAGAGACAGCAAAGUGGACCAGCGACCCCACGGCGUGAGCUCUAACAAGCCCCGGCCGGCGCACCCCACAGAACAAGGGAAGUGGACUUUCCUGGGGGCAGCUGCAGACCUCAGGGCACCUCCCAGACCCAUAAACACAGAGCAGCUGUGGGUGAGACUCGGGCAGGCGGCUGGGGAGCAAGACCACCUGGCCGCAGGCCUGUGGGGCAGGCACCUCAUGCUGCUGGCUCUCACCUCCACCAGGGGCCUGCAGUGCCCCCCACGUCCGCCUGCGCGAGCCACAGUGUGCACCCCGACAGCUUCCCAGAAGAGGAUAGCAGAGGACAUGGUCUCUGAUGGCCAAGGAAGAGUGAAAAGUCAGCCACGGAAGGACAGCAGAAAACCCCUCAGACCUUGGAAAUUAAGCAGGAUGUGCCAAGGACUGAAUGUGCUAAAGUGUCCAGACUGAAAUCCGACACUGCCUCGAGCUAAGUUAGAGUGAAGUUACCAUUCAAACUGUGCUUCGGGGAACUGCAUCCCCAUAGAUGCUGCAAAAACUAGAAGACAGCACAGUGGGCUAAACUGUGCCCCCAGCGCCUGGGCCGGAUCUAGCAUGGAGACAGGUCUUUGUGCUGACUGCUGCAGUUGCCCACGGCAUGGGAAGGAGAACCGCAAGCUUGGUACACAUGGUAUUGCUGCCCCACCAGCAUGGCUCCAGCUUCUCCUAGAAGAGGGUAGCUGCACACACAUGCGCGCACACACACACGAAGCCACCUGCCCCACAGAAUGCAGAGCAGAUGUUACAGAAAGGAGAAAAGACCACAAAGCACAGCACAGUGUCUUCCCGGUGCCAAGUCGCCCGACAGCACCCACACAUCUGCCCUGACCGCUGCGUGGACCCCGGCCACGAAUAUUGCUCCAACCCUCCGGCUCGGGGAUCUCAUUCCUCCGCCGUUUGUCCCAGAAACACGUUCGAAGCCGUCCACACCAGCGGCCACCACAGGCCUGAGGAUGCCACAGAAGCCCCUCCACCAUACUGGCAUUGUCGUUCUUGCCACAAGCAGAGCUGGCCCCAGGUACCUCCAGGUGGGUGGUGGCUGGGCUGAGUCCCCAGCUGCACUGGUCUGGUGGCCCAGGGCCCAGGGCAGCUGCCCCUCGCCCUCGCUCAGGAAGCCCAAGCCUGGGCUGGGGCCUCUAACUAAACCCAGGCCGUGUGGCCCCUUCCUGACGGGGGCCUGCUCACCAUGGACCCAGGGCCCACGCUCCAUGCCCUGAGUCAGCUGCAGUGCCCCCAAGCCUGGGCUCGCUCCAGGCCCUUCCACAGGCACCCGCUGCCCCACCCGACCUCGCCAUGUUCUAAGAACCAGUCUGCAACAUCUGCCGUCAGAGGGUGUCACAGAGGGUGUCACGGAGCGUGCCUCAUCAGCGAGAGUCCAGUAAACAGCAUGUUUCUUUCCUUGAGUGUGGUGUAAGCCAAGCACGGCUUAGACUGAGUCAUCUGUGUUGUCUGGAGGUCAGGUUGUCCUGUACCUGUGCUGUUAUUUGCUGGCUUGGCCCCCUGCCCCACAAGGGCGGAUGCAUGGUUGCCCACAGUGACCCCCACACUGCUGGCCCCUCGCCCUGACCAGGAGAUUUUCAAACACAGAGACCUCUGGGGACCCUGCCCACUGGCUGGACAGAAGCAACUACAGAAAAUGCCAGGGCAGAUUCUGGGGUGCAGAGGACAGUCAGGAUGCCCAGAGUCACUGACAGGGCCGUGUGGAAUCCCCUGGCACUGGCAGGGCAGGAGGCUCACCUUGGGUGCUUGAGAGUUUCCUCUGCCUCAUGUUUGGGGCUUCUGCAGAACCUCAAAAGCGGGGCAGAGGCGGGGGCCACUCCGGAAGCACUGUAGAGUUCAGCAUGAAGCCGACUCCACAGUGUCGAGGGUGCGCGGGGUGGGGGUUCGGGCUUCCCCCAGCCUGUUCAGGCCUCCGGUGUCGGGGUUGCACCAUCAGGCCCCCAGGGCCACGGAGCCCCACCAGGCCCAGCCCACGUGGUAAGAGCACUCAGAGGAGGCCCUUCCCGAGCCUGGGCAAGGCCCUGGUUUCCAUUUCAGUGCUGCAAAUAAAUUUUAAAAUGAAAAUGAAAAAGAAAGCCCUUGAAUGGAUUCUGAUUUGCCGAGAGAACUCCAUGGUGGAGCUCAGAGACUCUGAGGAAGCCACACAUGUCUAGUAAAACUCGCCUAAAGAUGCUCCAAGUGAUCAUUCACAUUCAUGCUCUCCUUCCCCAUCUCUCUCUGAGACUAG